RNAcentral lists this ribosomal RNA (639 nucleotides) under Providencia rettgeri. Its description in RNAcentral is "partial 23S ribosomal RNA". It matches the Rfam family "Bacterial large subunit ribosomal RNA", at positions 566 to 1204 of the family's 2925-position model. The record is from RNAcentral. Lineage: Bacteria; Pseudomonadati; Pseudomonadota; Gammaproteobacteria; Enterobacterales; Morganellaceae.
ACAAGCAGUGAAUGUGCUUUGGGGUGGGGUGACUGCGUACCUUUUGUAUAAUGGGUCAGCGACUUAUAUUCUGUAGCAAGGUUAACCGUAUAGGGGAGCCGUAGGGAAACCGAGUCUUAACUGGGCGAAUGAGUUGCAGGGUAUAGACCCGAAACCCGGUGAUCUAGCCAUGGGCAGGUUGAAGGUUGGGUAACACUAACUGGAGGACCGAACCGACUAAUGUUGAAAAAUUAGCGGAUGACUUGUGGCUGGGGGUGAAAGGCCAAUCAAACCGGGAGAUAGCUGGUUCUCCCCGAAAGCUAUUUAGGUAGCGCCUCGUGAACUCAUCUUCGGGGGUAGAGCACUGUUUCGACUAGGGGGUCAUCCCGACUUACCAACUCGAUGCAAACUACGAAUACCGAAGAAUGUUAUCACGGGAGACACACGGCGGGUGCUAACGUUCGUCGUGAAGAGGGAAACAACCCAGACCGCCAGCUAAGGUCCCAAAGUCAUAGUUAAGUGGGAAACGAAGUGGGAAGGCUCAGACAGCCAGGAUGUUGGCUUAGAAGCAGCCAUCAUUUAAAGAAAGCGUAAUAGCUCACUGGUCGAGUCGGCCUGCGCGGAAGAUGUAACGGGGCUAAACUAUGCACCGAAGCUGCG